AUUGAACGCUGGCGGCAGGCCUAACACAUGCAAGUAGAACGAGUGGCGGACGGGUGAGUAAUGUCUGGGAAACUGCCUGAUGGAGGGGGAUAACUACUGGAAACGGUAGCUAAUACCGCAUACCAUCAGAUGUGCCCAGAUGGGAUUAGCUUGUUGGUGGGGUAACGGCUCACCAAGGCGACGAUCCCUAGCUGGUCUGCGAGGAUGACCAGCCACACUGGAACUGAGACACGGUCCAGACUCCUACGGGAGGCAGCAGGGGGGAAUAUUGGACAAUGGGCGCAAGCCUGAUACAGCAAUGCCGCGUGUAUGAAGAAGGCCUUCGGGUUGUAAAGUACUGUCAGCGGGGAGGCGUUACCCGCAGAAGAAGCACCGGCUAACUCCGUGCCAGCCGCCGCGGUAAUAC
RNAcentral lists this ribosomal RNA (406 nucleotides) under uncultured bacterium. RNAcentral's name for it is "partial 16S ribosomal RNA". It matches the Rfam family "Bacterial small subunit ribosomal RNA", at positions 30 to 526 of the family's 1533-position model. The record is from RNAcentral.